AGCAGCCGCGGUAAUUCCAGCUCCAAUAGCGUAUAUUAAAGUUGUUGCAGUUAAAAAGCUCGUAGUUGAAUUUCGGGAUCAGUACGCUGGUCGUGCCUUUGGUAUGUACUGGUGUCACUGAUUCCUCCCUUCUGAAGAACCGUUAUGCCAUUUAUUUGGUGUGGCGGGGAAUCAGGACUGUUACUUUGAAAAAAUUAGAGUGUUUAAAGCAGGCUCGCGCUUGAAUACAUUAGCAUGGAAUAAUGAAAUAGGACGUUUGAUCUUAUUUUGUUGGUUUCUAGGAUCGACGUAAUGAUUAAUAGGGAUAGUUGGGGGCAUUAGUAUUCAAUUGUCAGAGGUGAAAUUCUUGGAUUUAUUGAAGACUAACUACUGCGAAAGCAUUUGCCAAGGAUGUUUUCAUUAAUCAAGAACGAAAGUUAGGGGAUCGAAGACGAUCAGAUACCGUCGUAGUCUUAACCAUAAACU
RNAcentral lists this ribosomal RNA (465 nucleotides) under uncultured Glomus. RNAcentral describes it as "SSU rRNA". It matches the Rfam family "Eukaryotic small subunit ribosomal RNA", at positions 569 to 1038 of the family's 1831-position model. Lineage: Eukaryota; Fungi; Glomeromycota; Glomeromycetes; Glomerales; Glomeraceae. The record is from RNAcentral.